Molecule: long non-coding RNA, 1195 nt
Filed under: Olea europaea subsp. europaea
Lineage: Eukaryota; Viridiplantae; Streptophyta; Magnoliopsida; Lamiales; Oleaceae
Source: RNAcentral
AUGAAACACACCUUUCAUUUACAUUUACCUCAUCCAAAUUGUAAACAUCCACAGAAAUAAAUGAACCAUAAUCGAAUUCGAAACCCUAAAUUCCCUAAAUCGAAACCCUGAGCUCAAAAUCAAAGUUCGUUCCCGUCGUUGCUCACUACUCAAACAGCCUACCCAAGCAUAGAGAAAUAGCUCCCAUUCCAUUGUUGUAAUUUUUGCAAUGGACGGACAACAUGAAGGUAAAUCUCGAACUCAUGGGUUUUAAAAAUAUGACACACAUGCAUUUUAAAAUAUUGGGCUUUCUAGUUGCCAUUCAUUUGACACUUAUGGGUUUUGUAGUUGCUAUUCUCAUAUUUAAAAAUUUUGAAGUUGCUAUUAAUCUGACACUUAUUGGUUUUAAAAAUCUGAAAAAUAUUUAUUUACAUGGUUUCUUGUGGGAAUUGUAAUUGUACUCUUACAUUAAUUCACAGAAUCCUGUGUAUCAUAUGAAUGACCUUCAUAGUAUGAUUUAAUUGUUCAACUAGAUUGAUAUGGUUUGAUUCUGCUUGAGUUCUCCACUUUGAUAUGGGGUUGAGUAGGUUUGAAUCAUUUGAUAGUUAAUUAAUUUCCAACAUCUAUACUAUAGUAGCAAAUGCAAUUUUUUUUCAUUUUUUUUUUUGGCCACAAUUCGUUGUUCCCUAUUUGAUGGUUUGCAUGUAUUCCUCGUUAAUGUGGUUUAAUUGUAUUACAGAUUGUGAGGAAGAUCCGGACUUCGUUGACUCCGAUAAUGACUUUGGGUCCAAAGAAGACGACAUCAAAUAUAAUAGAAAUGUAACUGAUGGGAUUGAAAUUGGAUUGAGGGUCGUAAAUAUGAAGCUCAAGAAGAAUGAGAAGAGGGCAAGGUCAAUGAGUUGGAUGAAUUGGAACGGGGUAAUUUUUAGUUUGGCUUAGUCAAAAUAGCAAUUUUUCACUUUAACCAAAAAAUAUUUGUCUAUAACCAAAAUGACCUUUUCUUGAAUAAAAGACAAAAAUGCCCUUAAAUAGUUUAUACAAUUACAAAAAUAGAAUUUUGUUUCAAAAGACAAAAAUACCCUUAAGUUACAAAUUAAAAAAUCAAACACUUUUCACUUUAUAUUUAAUUAUUUAUUUUAAACAAUUACCCAAAUUAAAAAAAUUAAUAUUAAAUUUAAUUUCUUGUUUAAAUAUUUCAUUAAUUAAUUAUCUUAAU